AUUGAACGCUGGCGGCAGGCCUAACACAUGCAAGUCGAGCGGCAGCGGAAAGUAGCUUGCUACUUUGCCGGCGAGCGGCGGACGGGUGAGUAAUGUCUGGGAAACUGCCUGAUGGAGAGGGAUAACUACUGGAAACGGUAGCUAAUACCGCAUAACGUCGCAAGACCAAAGAGGGGGACCUUCGGGCCUCUUGCCAUCAGAUGUGCCCAGAUGGGAUUAGCUAGUAGGUGGGGUAACGGCUCACCUAGGCGACGAUCCCUAGCUGGUCUGAGAGGAUGACCAGCCACACUGGAACUGAGACACGGUCCAGACUCCUACGGGAGGCAGCAGUGGGGAAUAUUGCACAAUGGGCGCAAGCCUGAUGCAGCCAUGCCGCGUGUAUGAAGAAGGCCUUCGGGUUGUAAAGUACUUUCAGCGGGGAGGAAGGAGUUGAGGUUAAUAACCUCAGCGAUUGACGUUACCCGCAGUAGAAGCACCGGCUAACUCCGUGCCAGCAGCAGCCGCGG
RNAcentral lists this ribosomal RNA (506 nucleotides) under uncultured bacterium. Its description in RNAcentral is "partial 16S ribosomal RNA". It matches the Rfam family "Bacterial small subunit ribosomal RNA", at positions 30 to 523 of the family's 1533-position model. The record is from RNAcentral.